Molecule: long non-coding RNA, 247 nt
Organism: Ruditapes philippinarum (Manila clam)
Lineage: Eukaryota; Metazoa; Mollusca; Bivalvia; Venerida; Veneridae
Exons: 3
Source: RefSeq, a predicted model, not a curated record
UGAUACGGAUAUUUCUCACACUUACAUAGAUUUAUAGUUCAACUAUGUCACGUUCUGGAACCUGCCUUACGUUUUUCGUGAAUGGAAAGAAGAUUUGUGAAACAAGUCCAGAUCCAAAGUGUACACUUCUGCAGUAUCUCCGGCGAACACUUUUUUUACCAGGCACAAAAGAAGGAUGUGGUCAUGGAGGAUGUGGAUCAUGCACUGUGAUGGUGUCCAGAUAUGAUUUUACUAGCAAGCGUAUUAA